GAGCGUUCAUUAUUGAUUUAUUAUCAUCCAUUAUUAUUUAUUGUUAUCAGUAUUUAUUAUUCGUAUAUUAUUAUUGAAUUAUUAUCAACAUACAUUCUCUUUAUAUUAUCGUUUAUUAUUCAUUUAUCCAUCGUAUUAUUCAUUUUCGUUUAUUAUUCACAGAUGUUAAUACUUUAGAAGCUUUUAGAUUCCUCGACUAAUUAACUAGAAGCAAAAAUUUAUUUAUACAAUUUACAGUAAUUUAUUUGUAGAUCGCCACAAUGUUUAGGCUGUUUUUGAUAGUUCAAUAACGAAGCUUCUGAGACAAAAUUUAUUAAUUUCGAAUGAAAAAUGAAUUACCAUAGUUGAAAUUUCGAAAACAUAUUUCAUUUAUUUGCAUCGUAACGCUUUCACGUUUACAUUAUAAAUUGAGCUCUUGUUUGAAAUAUUUUGUCGUAAAAUCGUGGAACGCAACUGGAAUAUCGCAACAAUGCGGAUCAUCCUACGUACUUAUUCUCUUGCUGAAGUAAGCAAAAUACUCAAACUUUUUAAGACAUAACAUAAUUUUACCUCGAGACGCAUUACGGUAUUACGACAUCGAAAUAUAAAUACGAAUAGUUAUCACUUUUCGCUAAAAGGCAGGUUUCAUUUGCAUUUAAUAAAUACACGCUCUAUAUUUACAAAUAAAUAUCGAAUAAACGUUCAAUUGCAUUUAAAAAGAAUGCAAUUAACCUUUGCAAACACACUGGUGAAUUUGCAAAGAAAAUUACUCUGCAAUAUUUGGGAGUUUAUAAUCGAACUUGUGAGAAUCAUUUGUUAAGUCCUGAUUUUCAAUUUUCUAUUUUUUCCAUUUUGAAAACUACGUUCAUAAAAAUAUUCAUUUGCACACAAAUCCACAGUUUAGUGAUAAUCUAAGCUCUUUCGGGCAGUUGCACGCUAAUCAUUUACACGGAUAAUAAAAUUGAACGACAAAUUUCGCUCUCAGCGUUCCUUAUGAAAAUUGCCUUCAGACAUAUCCCAUUAAUCUCAAGGGUUGAGACACUCUAGCAUUGAUUCAUACUCUCCUUAUCUCCAUUCGAGUAAUAGAACAUCACUUACGACUUACAAAUAAUCAUUACAUUUAAACAAAAUUAAUACAUCAUCGCCCAUGUAUGUACAAUGCGUGUGUACGAGGCUAAUACAAAAUUUGACUUGCCAAUUUCGCGACCAAAAAUCUGUACUUUCGAAUUAAUCAAUGAAAUGAUCCGAGGACGAAUUCUUUAUGAAAGCAAGAGAUUCUGGAUGAAAAAUUAAACGAUCUUGCGCGUUUCGAGAUUCGCCAUGUAUGCACUCCAUUCGCAGAUACUUAGCAGAACGCGACAUUCCAAUGACGAUCGAGAACAAAAAUAAAAAUUCACUGGCAACGUUCGCAGGUCGUACUCGCACGCAGGUAGACCACGUUCGCGGAUCAGGUUCGCAGGCCAUGUUCGCAGGCCAUGUUCGCAGAUUAGGUAUGCACGUUGGCACGUUCGCAAGUCACAUUCGCACGCUCGCAGGCCACGUCGGCGGACCCGGUUCGUAGGCCAUGUUCACAGAUCAUGUUCGCACACUAGAUACGCGCGUUCGGAGGUCGCAUUGGCGGGCAACGUUCGGGGAACAGGUUCGCACGUCCUGAGGCCACUUUCGCAUGUUAGCAGGCCACAUUCUGACGUUUCGCAGUGCGACAUUUCAACGAGGAUCGAGGGCAAAGAUCAAAAGAUGGAUACAAUGUAAAGCUUUCCCGAAACUCGAUAUCAGAGGAUCCGAGGUGUUUUCUCUGCUCUCUGGCUCAGUUGAGAUGUCUUGAAUGGCUACCUCUUUGUCUAAACUACACGCGGUGACGUUUAAGUAAAUAGCGCCGAUGCCAGGAACAAUCUUACCGUUCAUUCGUAAGUAUCACGCAGAAAUCAUUUUGUUUCCCUUCCGUUCCGUCAGAUAUCGUGCUGGCGUUUCACAAAGAACAGAAUGUUUGUGUUACUUUUAAAAUUUUCUUAGGAUAGACGUCAGAAAUUCACUCUUCGAUCAGGUCGCGGUUACGAAUGAAUUUCAUGAAAAAAAUUAACAACAUACAGCGUAACAGUUUGUAGCAGAACAAAACUUAGCGAUCUAAUACAACGUCUUGUUAACACGGAACGAUAAAAAUUACAGUCGCGGUUUGGACCAUCUCUUUUUUUAUUCUUUAAAGAAGGGAAGUGGAGUUUUUAAUUGGAAAUUAAAAUUAUACGCGUCUUUCUAUUUAACGAGAAUUGACAAACGAGAAUAAAACUAUCGAGCGAUAGAUUCUGAUGUACCUGAUGAUUCUUACUAAUCCUCUAUCGAUCAUUGAGGGAAUUGUUGCUCACAUUUAUUAUUUACUCAAAGACCGAUGAUAUUCAUCGACUAAUAAGAUCAAGAUCGAACAAUGUUUAUUUCGUUUUUUGUCGACUGCAUUCCACGCUGUGCUUGUGGCCGAAAGUGCACUCGCACGGAGGAUUGCGAGAGAGAAACGAUGUCCCGUAGUGGGUUUGCUACUAUCAUCCAAUUUACAAGCGAACCGUGUGCAGCGGUUAAUAGCUGCCGGAAUAAUGGGCAUCGUGCAGGUAGUGAUGGGAUCGAAACGAACAUACAGCAAACGUAAAUCUUUCGGAUAAUAAAAGUUUCUUUCACUUCUGUCAUUCGUCUAAGACGUCGUUUCUUUUGUUCUUUUUCUUUUAUAUCCCUACGUCGCGGAGAAACAGAUUUUGCGAGUAGUCGUAAAGUUUAUUUCUGCGCCUAGAACGACGCGUGUCGUGUGGUCUCGCGCGCUUUCAAAGACCGUAUUUUUGGAUCUGUACAGUACUCCUCGAAACGGCCGUUAUACACGUCGUAAUAAUUAAUACCGCCUUUGCUUGUUGAAGGUUAUGGUUUUAUAAAUUCUGGUUUUAUAGAGAGGAGAGCGUGUACAGUAUGCUAUAUUCUCGGAACUUAUGCUGUGCAAUUUGAAGAAUAUUGGAUUUUUAACGUUUCUGCAAAUCUUUCCAAGCUCUCUUAUUAUCGAACCGAUGAAAAUACUUUCUCGGUAUUUUCGACUUCUAACGUGAUAUUUCUAUCGUGAACUAAUUGAAAAAUUCUUUCGGUGCAUCUUCGAUCCUUUGCUUACAUUUUCUAUAAAUACACAAAUAUCUAUAGUCUUGUAACUUUUGAGCGAAUCUGUAUGUGAAAGUUUCCUCUUUUCCUCAAAGUCGCUCUUUGAUCCAAUCGAUACAUUUUCAAUAACUUCAAACCAAACCACGAUUCCCUUGUAUAAAAAGUUUAUGCGAUAUUAAUAUUUCACGAAGAUUCAAUUUUUUUAAAUGCCUAAUAUCUUGUCUUUAUAGCGUUGAUCUCCGUUAGGGAACGAACACGAUUGACGACUAUUAAAUUCUACGAAUUCCAGGAUUUUCUCCUUAUUUUAUAGGAAUUCGUAUUUCUCGGCCAAAGUAGAUAUUACAGAUUCGAGUAACAAGUGGAUAAUAAUUCUUAACUACAAGCGUGCUAACAAGAGCGAUUUCUGAUUUUAAAGAAGCACCACAGAGUGCCGCGAGUUAUCUGUCACGAGAUCGCCUAAUAAAGACCGAAUUCUCGAACAUCUUUCUACUGGCCAGAGAACGAGGAUGCUGUGCUCGUUCACGCUCUUUGUGCGCGACUAGCGUGUUCGACACGUUGGCAUCAACGUGACCUGUUAAUGGUUCAAUCUGCCACAAGAUGCGCCAAAAUACAUUCUCAGAAACAAUAAUUCUUCUACAAAAGACACUUGGCGAACGUUCCCUUUGAAAUCUAUUAAUUUCCACUAGGUUUUUCAAAAUUAGGCGAUAGGCUGUAUAAAAGCUAAUUAUUUUUUAUCAAAUAUAUUACGUUAAAGGUAUUUAUUAAUUAACGUUAUCUACUAUAAAACCACUUUCUUCAAUUUUUGCGUAACAAACAUCGUAGAAGUUAUAGGUUUCGAGAUUUUCAAACGUAUUAUGACUCUAUACUGGAAAUACUGAUAAAAGAUGAAGUACAACAAAUUUGUAAUAAAAAAAAAAAAAUCAAAAUGGAUAGCAUACGAUGAAAUUAUAAUGCAAGGGACAAGAUAAGCUUUUAUUCAUAUAUUUUGCAAAAGAAUCGUUCAAAUCGUCGGAAUGUAUAAAAUUUCUACGAAGAAUUAUAAAUUUCUCACUUUGACCAUUCUGAUAGUUCUAGCGUCAGGUAAAGGUAUCGCGUUUCCUUCCAAUUUCACCUACUUGAAAGUUAUAUCGGAUUAUCUAUCAUCGAGGGAGCCUCUUCGCCCUUUGUGCGAUGCAAAAGCCGGGAAACAUCAAAUCUUAGAAAUAAUUUUUCCAGUUGUAGAUAUUUAAGAGAAGGAUAUCAAACUAUCAACCAUGAAACCACGUUUUCAAAUUGAAUUUUGGAUUUGCACCCUCGGAUUUUGAUUAAAGAUUCGAAAGAGUACGGAUUAAAAGAUCGCAAGAAUGAGAUACAUCGUUCUGUUCAUUGUAAAUAUUAUAAUUGUCAAAUAUUUUGGAGCAGGAGAAAAGGUAAAAUGAAUGGGUAAAAUAAUGAGUAAUGAAAAAUCUCGAAGGGUAAAAAAAAAUCGAACAAAAAUGUGUCAGUUUAAGCGUUCGUGUAUUUUUUAUGCAAAUUCUAGCAGAUAGAACUGGACAACAAUCUCCAUGAAUAUGUUCUGACAGCACGCGAAAAUCGAUCCCAUCGCUAUCUGCAAGCCGGUUACGCAAGAACUCGCCACGUGUCUCGUAUGAAUCGCAAUCUUCUAUGAUAGACGUGACAGAACAGGAAGGAGGAAUGAGAUUGCGAACAAGUAACUAUUCGAUUGAUAUAAAUAUUUAAAUCGUUUCUCGUUAUACAGGACCCGUGGCGAAUGUACGAUUUAUUUACAGUGGUUGAACAUGAGUGACGAGAAAAUGAGAAACUAUGUACAUAAAUGCGCUUGUGAAAUGAUAUUUACGAAUACUUGGUGGAAGAAGUAUAAUGAAUUUUCUAAUAUUUUUACACUAAACUUAUCAAUGCUUUAUAUGUUACAUCUGGACUUUUAUUAUUUAAGAAAACUUAUUCGCAUUUCAUGCGUUUUAAUACAUAGGCGUGUAAAUUAAAUCGACGAAAUAUUGACGAAAGUUUAUUGAAUGCUUUAUUUAGGAAUAUAAUACUAAUUUCAUCGUUAAAAUAAUUUCUAUGUUAAUUUUUAAUCUUCUAAUCUAUAUUCAAGAUUGUCGGGCAAAGUUACGAACGGUGCUCCUUUAAAGGAUAUUUAUACAUUUAUAAGAGAUUUACAAGAUAGGAAAAUAUUUAAAUUUAAAAUAAUUACCUAUAAAAAGUUAUUAAAUCUAGAUACACCGAAUUAAUUUACACACCUAAUAUUAAAAAUAUAUAUAUAUUCCAUAAUAAUAAUUAUUCACAUUUUUCUAUUUUUUAUUAAAAAAUAGAGACACAAAUAAUUAAAACUAUAGAAUUUUUCAAACGUUUCGCUAUACUUCUUUCGAUACUUCGCUAAGUCCGUAUACGCUACCCGUUAGGUAUACUCUUGAAACAGUAGAAUUUGAAAUGGCACACUCGAGCGUUCAGAGUCGAGAGUCGAAUUAAAUAAAUUAACUAAUACAACUGAAAACUAGUGGCGAAUGACGUCAAACACAUCUGGUGGUUCGCGACCCUCGAAUUAUUAUGCACCGUUCGAGCGUGCCUCGAGUAUCUCACUAUACAGUACGGAGGCAAAAUUGAACGUUGUUAAACGACACGGCUAUUUUCUAUCGCAUAUAUAUCCGUUUAUUUAUAUCUACAUACCUAUUUACUCGUCUUUCAAUUCGCAAUACACAAUUGCAUUUCUCUUUCACUUUCUUCUUUCAUCUUGUCGAGUUUGUUCUUGCCGGAUCGCAAUAUUCGCGCAAUGAUAUUUCGUAAAACUCGACAGUUUAAACAAAUUUUUAAAUCGUUCGAUUUUGCCUCGAAAUAAUUCCAAUGCUGUGGAACAGUUUCUCUUCUUUUCAUGCAGAACAAGAAUUAACGCUGUCCAGGCUGAAAAAUUCAGAGAGCUUUCCUCUUGCUCUUUUACAUAAUUGUAUUAAGCGAUUCGAACUAUUCAGAAGUCAAUCUGACCAAUUUUAUUGGAAAAUUGGUUCCACUGUUCGUGAAGUUAAGCGGUAAUUGCGUGUUACGGUAUUUAAAUUGUAAGAUUUUGGAAAUUGUCGAAUGGCGCAGAGUCACGCAGAAUCUAAGCUUCAUUCUAUAGAAGCGAAUUCUUUGAUUUGCGAAAGAUACCGCGCUAUCGCAUCUUCUUAUUCGCAAUAAUUUACUAGUUAAUGAUGUUAGUGAAUUGAAUCGAAUAGGAUAAUCAUAGGAUACGUAAAUUGUAAGAUUUCAUUUGUUUUAUUACCAAACUUAUUCCAUUAUUCUUGUGAUUCGUUUAACCCUCCUAUCGUAUCAGAUAAUAAUGGAAAUUCGUCAAAAUCUUAAAACUUUAUCUCGAUCAACAAAACCAAAAAAAAGAAACAUCUGCAUUAAAAUUUAAGGAUGCGAUUAAAUCACGUAAAAUUGAUUAAACGCAAUAGGGAUAUUAAAGGCCAGAUUGACUUCCUUCUAUUCAAAAUGACACUCAAAUAAAGACGAAGCGAGAAAUUCUCCACCUAAACCUCAUCAUCCAAAAAGGAAUCGCGAUUCUGACUUUGUUCUCCGAGAAAAUUCCGAUCGCCUCGCAUAUUUCGUCUGCCUCUCGGUUGCUCGGUAUUUCUUACCAUCGUCCUUAGUGACUAGUUCGUUCAGCACUAAUUUAUUAAAUGUAGAAUUCCUUAGCUCUAAUACUAGUGAGAUCAUUGUUCGACAAGGGAGCUGAAAGUGACCGGCAACUUAACGAGAGCAACGAAACGGAGAAACAAAAUAAAAGAAAAAAAAAAAAAAAUAAAGAAAGAA
This is a long non-coding RNA of Bombus huntii, 6891 nucleotides long. RefSeq lists it as uncharacterized. NCBI's taxonomy places the organism in Eukaryota, Metazoa, Arthropoda, Insecta, Hymenoptera, Apidae. The record is from RefSeq and is a predicted model, not a curated record. The transcript is spliced from 2 exons.